CCAUGUUUUAUUGUAGCGCUGGAUUCAGAGUCCAAAAGGCUACCUUUCUUCUUAAGACUGAGCCUCCAUGCCCAUUGCUUGAUAUUAUAUCUCUGGUACCAGACUUCUUCAGCAUAGACAAUAACUAGACAACUUCGUAUGAAUGCUAAUUGUUAAUCUACAUACCAAACAUACACUAUGAAUUCAAUCUAUAACGUAAAAAAAUGUUGAACAUGCGAGAGUCCUGCUUGCUUGUGCUUGAUGUCUACUUGUCUUGACAGUCCUGACUGCAUCAGUUCUUCCUCUGUUUUUGCCACAGUCUUGUGUGCUUGCCGGCCUGUGCUUGUCAUCUUCUUUCCAUUGUGGAGACACAUGAUUGACGUUCUUGAUCUCCCCAGUGCCCUCCCGAUCUCCUCCAUUACUUGAGUCUCCUGUAUCUUGUUUACUAGGGUUACCUCAGUGGGUUGACCUCUGGCUAUGCUGGUGAAUAACGCAACUGUUCUGCAGGGCUGAUAGGUAAUUUGACACCAACCACAUGUGCCCGUUUUCCCGCCGAAGCUGGUACAGGCCACACUGACGAGUGGAAGUCUGCUAUUUUCCCCUUGCACUGCUUCUGUGACAGGCCUUGGAUCCUGUCAAAGUCAAUCUCGGUAGAACCUCCAAAUUGUUACCCGCCCGACCGCGAGGGCCGGGCGCUAGACGGGGACUACAGACGACGUCAGAGCCCAGACUUCGGGAGACCAAACUUUAAUGUCAAACAAGAUGGAUUCACUUCACAGAACUCUACCUCCAAAUUGCUUAC
Molecule: long non-coding RNA, 781 nt
Organism: Branchiostoma floridae (Florida lancelet)
Lineage: Eukaryota; Metazoa; Chordata; Leptocardii; Amphioxiformes; Branchiostomatidae
Exons: 3
Source: RefSeq, a predicted model, not a curated record